This 482-nucleotide ribosomal RNA is filed under the name uncultured bacterium. RNAcentral describes it as "bacterial SSU rRNA". It matches the Rfam family "Bacterial small subunit ribosomal RNA", at positions 30 to 507 of the family's 1533-position model. The record is from RNAcentral.
AUUGAACGCUGGCGGCAUGCCUUACACAUGCAAGUCGAACGGUAACAGGCCUUCGGGCGCUGACGAGUGGCGAACGGGUGAGUAAUGCAUCGGAACGUGCCCAGUCGUGGGGGAUAACGCAGCGAAAGCUGUGCUAAUACCGCAUACGAUCUGCGGAUGAAAGCGGGGGACCUUAGGGCCUCGCGCGAUUGGAGCGGCCGAUGUCAGAUUAGGUAGUUGGUGGGGUAAAGGCCCACCAAGCCAACGAUCUGUAGCUGGUCUGAGAGGACGACCAGCCACACUGGGACUGAGACACGGCCCAGACUCCUACGGGAGGCAGCAGUGGGGAAUUUUGGACAAUGGACGCAAGUCUGAUCCAGCCAUUCCGCGUGCAGGAUGAAGGCCCUCGGGUUGUAAACUGCUUUUGUACGGAACGAAAAGGUCUCUCUUAAUACGGGGGGCUCAUGACGGUACCGUAAGAAUAAGCACCGGCUAACUACGUG